UACGAAGGGGGCUAGCGUUGCUCGGAAUCACUGGGCGUAAAGGGUGCGUAGGCGGGUCUUUAAGUCAGGGGUGAAAUCCUGGAGCUCAACUCCAGAACUGCCUUUGAUACUGAAGAUCUUGAGGUCGGGAGAGGUGAGUGGAACUGCGAGUGUAGAGGUGAAAUUCGUAGAUAUUCGCAAGAACACCAGUGGCGAAGGCGGCUCACUGGCCCGAUACUGACGCUGAGGCACGAAAGCGUGGGGAGCAAACAGG
This 253-nucleotide ribosomal RNA is filed under the name uncultured bacterium. RNAcentral's name for it is "partial 16S ribosomal RNA". It matches the Rfam family "Bacterial small subunit ribosomal RNA", at positions 524 to 776 of the family's 1533-position model. The record is from RNAcentral.